Molecule: ribosomal RNA, 422 nt
Filed under: uncultured bacterium
Lineage: Bacteria
Description: bacterial SSU rRNA
Rfam family: Bacterial small subunit ribosomal RNA
Source: RNAcentral
UCGGGAAUUUUGGGCAAUGGGCGAAAGCCUGACCCAGCAACGCCGCGUGAAGGAUGAAAUCCUUCGGGAUGUAAACUUCGCAAGAACGGGAAAAAUAAGUAAGAGCUAACAUCUCUUAUGAUGACGGUACUGUUUGUAAGCUCCGGCUAACUCCGUGCCAGCAGCCGCGGUAAUACGGGGGGAGCAAGCGUUGUUCGGAAUUACUGGGCGUAAAGGGCUCGUAGGCGGCCAACUAAGUCGGACGUGAAAUCCCCAGGCUCAACCUGGGAACUGCGUCUGAUACUGGAUGGCUUGAAUCCGGGAGAGGGAUGCAGAAUUCCAGGUGUAGCGGUGAAAUGCGUAGAUAUCUGGAGGAAUACCGGUGGCGAAGGCGGCAUCCUGGACCGGCAUUGACGCUGAGGAGCGAAAGCCAGGGGAGCAAA